UACGUAGGGUGCGAGCGUUAAUCGGAAUUACUGGGCGUAAAGCGUGCGCAGGCGGUUCGUUAAGUCAGAUGUGAAAGCCCCGGGCUCAACCUGGGAACUGCAUUUGAAACUGGCGGGCUUGAGUGUGGCAGAGGGGGGUGGAAUUCCACGUGUAGCAGUGAAAUGCGUAGAGAUGUGGAGGAAUACCGAUGGCGAAGGCAGCCCCCUGGGAUAACACUGACGCUCAUGCACGAAAGCGUGGGGAGCAAACAGG
RNAcentral lists this ribosomal RNA (253 nucleotides) under uncultured bacterium. RNAcentral's name for it is "partial 16S ribosomal RNA". It matches the Rfam family "Bacterial small subunit ribosomal RNA", at positions 524 to 776 of the family's 1533-position model. The record is from RNAcentral.